This 267-nucleotide ribosomal RNA is filed under the name uncultured bacterium. RNAcentral describes it as "partial 16S ribosomal RNA". It matches the Rfam family "Bacterial small subunit ribosomal RNA", at positions 524 to 787 of the family's 1533-position model. The record is from RNAcentral.
UACGAAGGGGGCUAGCGUUGUUCGGAAUUACUGGGCGUAAAGCGCACGUAGGCGGAUAUUUAAGUCAGGGGUGAAAUCCCAGAGCUCAACUCUGGAACUGCCUUUGAUACUGGGUAUCUUGAGUAUGGAAGAGGUAAGUGGAAUUGCGAGUGUAGAGGUGAAAUUCGUAGAUAUUCGCAGGAACACCAGUGGCGAAGGCGGCUUACUGGUCCAUAACUGACGCUGAGGUGCGAAAGCGUGGGGAGGCAAACAGGGAUUAAGAUAUCC